AGCGAACGCUGGCGGCAGGCUUAACACAUGCAAGUCGAGCGGGCAUCUUCGGAUGUCAGCGGCAGACGGGUGAGUAACACGUGGGAACGUACCCUUCGGUUCGGAACAACUCUGGGAAACUGGAGCUAAUACCGGAUACGCCCUUAUGGGGAAAGGUUUACUGCCGAAGGAUCGGCCCGCGUCUGAUUAGCUAGUUGGUGGGGUAACGGCCUACCAAGGCGACGAUCAGUAGCUGGUCUGAGAGGAUGAUCAGCCACACUGGGACUGAGACACGGCACAGACUCCUACGGGAGGCAGCAGUGGGGAAUAUUGGACAAUGGGCGCAAGCCUGAUCCAGCCAUGCCGCGUGAGUGAUGAAGGCCUUAGGGUUGUAAAGCUCUUUUGUCCGGGACGAUAAUGACGGUACCGGAAGAAUAAGCCCCGGCUAACUUCGUG
This 435-nucleotide ribosomal RNA is filed under the name uncultured bacterium. RNAcentral's name for it is "partial 16S ribosomal RNA". It matches the Rfam family "Bacterial small subunit ribosomal RNA", at positions 29 to 507 of the family's 1533-position model. The record is from RNAcentral.